GAGUUUGUAUCGUGGCUCAGGAUGAACGCUGGCGGCGUGCUUAACACAUGCAAGUCGAACGGGUUUAGGCCCGUGGCGGACGGGUGUGUAACGCGUGGGAAUCUGCCUCUGGGAGGGGGAUAAUAGUUCGAAAGGACUCGUAAUACCCCAUAUGGCGAAAGCUGAAAUGAAUUUCGCCCAGAGAUGAGCCCGCGUCUGAUUAGCUAGUUGGUAGGGUAAAAGCCUACCAAGGCGACGAUCAGUAGCUGGUCUGAGAGGAUGAUCAGCCACACUGGGACUGAGACACGGCCCAGACUCCUACGGGAGGCAGCAGUGGGGAAUUUCCGCAAGUGGCGAAAGCCUGACGGAGCAACGCCGCGUGGAUGAGGAAGGCCCUUGGGUUGUAAAAUCCUUUUGUCAGGGACGAAUUCUGACGGUACCUGACGAAUAAGCAUCGGCUAACUCCGUGCCAGCCGCCGCGGUAAU
Molecule: ribosomal RNA, 465 nt
Filed under: uncultured bacterium
Lineage: Bacteria
Description: bacterial SSU rRNA
Rfam family: Bacterial small subunit ribosomal RNA
Source: RNAcentral